This 520-nucleotide ribosomal RNA is filed under the name uncultured Scutellospora. Its description in RNAcentral is "SSU rRNA". It matches the Rfam family "Eukaryotic small subunit ribosomal RNA", at positions 569 to 1094 of the family's 1831-position model. Lineage: Eukaryota; Fungi; Glomeromycota; Glomeromycetes; Diversisporales; Gigasporaceae. The record is from RNAcentral.
AGCAGCCGCGGUAAUUCCAGCUCCAAUAGCGUAUAUUAAAGUUGUUGCAGUUAAAAAGCUCGUAGUUGAAUUUCGGGGUUCUACCGUUGGUCGGGCUAUUGUCUGUACUGGCGUGUGGAAUUUCUACCUUCUGGGGAACUAUCAUGUUAUUAAUUUAGCGUGGUAGGAAACCAGGACCUUUACCUUGAAAAAAUUAGAGUGUUCAAAGCAGGCUUAUGUCUGAAUACAUUAGCAUGGAAUAAUAAAAUAGGACGGUGGUCCUGUUUUGUUGGUUUCUGAAUCACCGUAAUGAUUAAUAGGGAUAGUUGGGGGCAUUAGUAUUCAAUUGUCAGAGGUGAAAUUCUUGGAUUUAUUGAAGACUAACUACUGCGAAAGCAUUUGCCAGGGAUGUUUUCAUUAAUCAAGAACGAAAGUUAGGGGAUCGAAGACGAUCAGAUACCGUCGUAGUCUUAACCAUAAACUAUGCCGACUAGGGAUCGGAUGAUGUUAAUUUUUAAUGACUCAUUCGGCGCCUUACGGG